RNAcentral lists this long non-coding RNA (1083 nucleotides) under Oreochromis niloticus (Nile tilapia). RNAcentral's name for it is "lncRNA (ENSONIG00000039276.1)". The record is from RNAcentral. Lineage: Eukaryota; Metazoa; Chordata; Actinopteri; Cichliformes; Cichlidae.
AUGGGCUACAGGGCCAGACCUCUGACACAUCUGGGUCAGUCUGACCACUUGUCACUGUUUCUAAUACCUGCAUAUUCCCCCCUCAAGAAAACUGCUCCCACCAUCACAAAGACUAUUACCAUAUGGCCAGAGGGCACCUCUCAGCAGCUGCAGGACUGUUUUGACGGGACUAACUGGGAUAUCUUUGAACAUCAGGACCUGGAAAUGUUCACAGACAGUGUUCUCUGCUACAUAAAACACUGCAUAGACACUGUUACAGCAGACAAAUGUUUCCGGGCUUAUCCCAACCAAAAGCCCUGGAUGACCCGGGAGGUCAAGCAGCUGCUGAAGGAGAGGAACAUCGCGUUCAGGUCUGGCAACAGGGACCACUACACUGUAGCCCGAUCCAACCUGAAAAGAGGCAUCAGAGAGGCGAAGGGGGACUAUAGGAGGAAGAUUGAGGACCAUCUGGAGAGUAACAACAGCCGGCAGGUGUGGCAGGGGAUCCAGCAUCUAACCAACUAUAAGAUCAAUCUCGGAGCUGCGGAAGGUGACCUGGCGCUGGCGGAGGAGCUGAAUAUCUUCUUCGCCCGCUUUGAGGCCAUGGUACUGGAGGUAUUGGAGCCACAGCAGCAACACGCAGCUCACAGCAGCACCACUCUCAACCUUGAAGAACACGAGGUGAGGUGCACUCUGCAGGCCAUUAACCCGAGGAAGGUGGUGGGUCCUGAUGGUGUACCAGGUCGAAUAUUGAGGGAUUGUGCAGAACAGCUGGCUGCGAUCUUCACCAGGAUCUUCAACAAAUCCCUCGCACAGGCGACUGUCCCACUCUGCCUGAAGUCCUCCACCAUAGUCCCCUUGCCUAAGAAGCCCCACAUCACCAGUAUGAAUGACUACAGACCAGUGGCACUCACCCCAGUGGUAAUGAAAUGCUUUGAGAAGCUGGUCUGCAGACACAUCACAGCAGCCCUGCCUCGCAGCCUGGAUCCACACCAGUUUGCCUACAGAGCAAACCGGUCCACGGAAGAUGCUGUAGCCACAGCACUCCAUGAUGCCGUAACACACCUGGAGGAGCAUGGGAGCUAUGUGCGGAUGCUUGUGUGA